Rhinopithecus roxellana (golden snub-nosed monkey) is the source of this 423-nucleotide long non-coding RNA. RefSeq lists it as uncharacterized. The record is from RefSeq and is a predicted model, not a curated record. The transcript is spliced from 2 exons. NCBI's taxonomy places the organism in Eukaryota, Metazoa, Chordata, Mammalia, Primates, Cercopithecidae.
GAUGCAAAGUUCACAUGUCUGAGCACACAUAAGGGACGCUGUGAAUACGUGUGUAUUUGUUGUGUGCAUGCCUGCAGAAUGGGACACAGAGACUCACUCUAUUCAUCAGGGAUUUGUUUUAAUCAGGAAUUGGCAAGCAUGGGAAGAGCAUGCUGUCCAGGGUCGGCAAGGCCUGGAAAUGUCAGAGCAUCAGAAUACUGAAAAUAAAAGACAUGGUCAGUACUCAUACAUAGACAUGACACACACCUGUACACGCAUACGCAGACUCACACUGUGAACAGCUGAGUUAAAAAAGCCUUCCACUCCUGGAAGCGGGAGUCACAUCACUUUCUCCAAAGCAUGUCUUAUCCUAUACAAUGGGUGCUUUAAGUGCAAGAAUACUCAAGAAAUUGCAGGGAUAAAGUUAAACAAAUCCAAGUGUUA